This 690-nucleotide long non-coding RNA is filed under the name Olea europaea subsp. europaea. Lineage: Eukaryota; Viridiplantae; Streptophyta; Magnoliopsida; Lamiales; Oleaceae. The record is from RNAcentral.
CUACCUUUCUUCUCAAGCUAUUUCUAGAACUUGGUGUAAUCCUUCUUCAUGUGUCCCUUCUUUUUAUACAAGAAACACUUGGAUUCCUUUUUUAUUCCACCUUAGGGCGAUAUUUUACCUUUUCUCUUCUUUUUGGCUCGAUUUUGGUCCUUUCCUUGUGAGGCCAUCAACGCUCUUUUACCAUUUCCAUUGUCAGUCUCCCUUCUUCCUGAACACAUAUGGCUAGAAGUUCAUUAAUUGACCACUUAUCCUUAUGUGUCUUAUAGGAUAUCUUGAAGGGUCCAUAUUGAUGUGGAAUUGUUCAGAAUGUAGUGCACAAGGAAAGAUUCAAACCAUAUCAACCUCAAGAGUCUACAAUUGAGCCACAAUGUCCCUUAUUUGCAUGAUGUGCUCACGCACACCUCUCAUAGUAAUGGUCCUCGUGGAUGAAAACUUCAUAAUUAGGGUGCUGGCAAGUGCUUUAUUUGAAGUCUCAAACUGCUCAUCAAUAGCCUUCAGCAAUACGUUAACAUUUUUAUGCUCUUCGACAAAACCAAGAAUACCAGCAAAAAUCUUGGCCUUUAUGAACAUCAUACUAAGGCGACUGGAUCGCUCCCAUCAUUCAUAAAGAGUAAUUUCAUUCGGAGUGAUUUUUAGUUCAUCUUUCCUAACAACAUAAUCAAUGUCCAUCCAUCCAAAAUAAAGAAGAAU